GAUGAAGAACGCAGCGAAAUGCGAUAAGUAAUGUGAAUUGCAGAAUUCAGUGAAUCAUCGAAUCUUUGAACGCACAUUGCGCCCGCUAGUAUUCUGGCGGGCAUGCCUGUCCGAGCGUCAUUUCAACCCUCGGGAGCCCCUUUGCGGGGGCUGCCGGUGUUGGGGAUCGCCCGCCGCCAUGGUGGACGUCCCCUAAAACGACUGGCGGUCUCGCUGUAGCCUCCUCUGCGCAGUAGCACUUGUUCUCGCAGGCGGAGCGCGGCGCGGCCAAGCCGUUAAACCCCCAACUUUUUUACUAGGUUGACCUCGGAUCAGGUAGGAAUACCCGCUGAACUUAAGCAUAUCAAUAAGCGGAGGA
Molecule: unclassified non-coding RNA, 358 nt
Filed under: soil metagenome
Description: partial contains 5.8S ribosomal RNA, internal transcribed spacer 2, and large subunit ribosomal RNA
Rfam family: 5.8S ribosomal RNA (bases 1-120)
Source: RNAcentral